GUAGAGGUAGCUCGGUGUUAAGAGCUUCUUGUUUCAGAGGACCUGGGUUCGAUUCCCAGCACCCACA
Molecule: transfer RNA, 67 nt
Filed under: Rattus norvegicus (Norway rat)
Lineage: Eukaryota; Metazoa; Chordata; Mammalia; Rodentia; Muridae
Rfam family: tRNA
About the family: Transfer RNA (tRNA) molecules are approximately 80 nucleotides in length. Their secondary structure includes four short double-helical elements and three loops (D, anti-codon, and T loops).
Source: Rfam by way of RNAcentral